Long non-coding RNA from Ostrea edulis (European flat oyster), 1738 nucleotides. RefSeq lists it as uncharacterized. The record is from RefSeq and is a predicted model, not a curated record. The transcript has 4 exons. Lineage: Eukaryota; Metazoa; Mollusca; Bivalvia; Ostreida; Ostreidae.
GACAAGGAGGAAAUAAAUUGUAAAUUUCAAGACUCCUGGGGCCUUAGGGACAGGGCAAAAAUUGACCAAUUUUCUAAAGUCUUCUCUACAAUUGGAUAUCUUAAAGAAAAACUAAAUGCAUAAUGAUAUACAGCAGAAAUGCCUCUACCAAAUUAUAAAUUUUAUGAUCCCCGGGGUAGAGAUUCUAACUCCAGGACGGGAUCAAACUUGGUAUAUACAGUGUAUAUGUGAAAAACAUGUAAAUUAUAUUUGCUUUAAUGCUAUUGAUACUAAAUAUUGAAACUAAAUGGAUAUUUAGAAGGAGUAGAUAGUCCUUUACCAAAAUUGUAAAUCUCAUGGUCCUAGGGGGUACGGGUUUGGUUUCAGGGUGGAGCCAAAAUUAUUAUAGUGAUUAUUGUCUUUUUCAUUCGAAUGACUUCUUUAACUAUACUGGUGCAACAAUCCCAGGGUUUUGACUUUAGGGUGGGUUCAAAAUUAGUGACAUCGUUUAAUGAUAAUAAAUAUAUCAUAUUAUGUGAAGCCUUUCAUGAGUAUAUGCACUUUUAAGGACAUUGAAGUUUUAAAAACACAUAUUGUUUUAUAUUAGAAUUUAGCUUUGAUGUUCAGAACAGGCUUUCCCCUAUAUUUUAGCCCUUGGGACUGGUGAUACUUUUAACUAGUACUCAGGUGACAAAUAAGGCCUAUGGACCACUUGUUCAUUUGCACUGUAUUACUUUUCACUUGUAUUGAAUCCGAAGGAUUGUUGAUUUUGAUUUGUUAUGAAGGAUUUCACUGCUCAAGUUUUAGACUGUACGAUGUUGAAAACCAGCGAGAUAUGUCUGAUCAACAAGAAAGUGGGUCUCUUUGUUUGAACAGGAUUAGAUAAAUACGAGGUCGAUAAGCAAGGGUAAUGUAUUUUAUCAAUACUAGUAAAAAUUUGUAAAUUAAUUUUAAUACAAUUUAAUUUGUUAUACGUUGUGAUGUGUAGAAAUAACUUACAUUAAUGUUCUUCAAGCAUUUAAAUUUUUGAAUGUGAAAAAUAUACACAUUGACUGUUUAUAUUUAAAGGCAUCUUUAUUUGAAUGAUGAAAGCUUAAUUCCUGAUAAUUUACAGGAAUCAGUAGACAACGGUAUCGGGAACUGGCUAGACAACAGGAGAGUUUUGAGUGGACAUGUGCUGACUGCAGCGGAACCACCGGGGCAGCAGCAGUUGAUGAAUCAGCAGAAACAAUCGCAGAUGAGCCUGUCAAUGCCACCUUCCACCUUUCCAUUUCUGGUCUAUCAACAAAUCAGGAUGACAGACAAGUGACAGCAGCUGAUGAAUCUGAAGCAGAAAUGAUUGCAGAUGAGCCUGUGAAUGCCAUCUUCCGCCCAUCCCUCUCUGGUCUAUCAAGAAAUUAGGAUGACAGAGAAGAAGAUUCCUUACUUUCUGACAACUCGUAUGAUGUUCCUGAUGCCAUCCAAUAGAAUUCGAUUCGAGAUGAGACCAUUGAUGACAUCACUCACGCAGAUGACGUGGAGCCUGAGUAUGAAGUUGUGUAUAGUGUUUUAUGUAAGAAAUCUGUAUUAAUUCUUUUUAGUGCUUGUUCUUAAUUUAUGAAAGAUGUUAAGCAGUUAUGUGAAUUAGUGUUUGUAUGUAUUGUGAUCAUCUGUAUUUUCAUUGCAUAGUGGUAUUAAGUGUCAAAGUAUGCAAUAUCAUUUAGUGCUUUUUCUUUAUACAUGUACUCUAUCAGUUGUGUAUUAGUUUUUGUGUUAAUAU